Molecule: long non-coding RNA, 593 nt
Filed under: Ananas comosus (pineapple)
Lineage: Eukaryota; Viridiplantae; Streptophyta; Magnoliopsida; Poales; Bromeliaceae
Description: long non-coding RNA (ACOM_LNC004214)
Source: RNAcentral
AUUUAGGGGGUGUUUGGAUUGACGAAUAUGCUGAUCCAACGUAACUCAAGUAUAAUUGUGUUUGAGUUUUUUAAAGUGUGAUUAUUUUUUUGUUGUUUAUUUUGACGUAUUUCGUACAGUCUGAAAGUUAAAUUAAAUUACUUCUUCUAUUUAUUUUGAAGUAACUUGAUGCUGAUAAAAUUAGUUUUUUUAGUUACAUUGUUUGUUUUGAUAUAAGUGAUUCUCGUUAUCUUAUGAAUAUAAUGGUAAACUUACCGUUAUAAAAUUUAACCUAUUAUAUAAUUAAUUUUUUUAUUAUUAUUUAAAAAUAAUCUUAAUUUAUUAUAAAUAAGGUAAUUCUAAUUUAUUAUAAAGGAGUAGAGUUUAGAUUUUACUAUUUAAUAAAUUUUUUAGAACAUGCUGAGUAUGACGGAAGCUGAGUUCAGUAUUUUAGAGAAAAAAAUUGAGAGUAGGUAAAGUAGAGAUCUAACAUAACUUGAGUUACAUUAUAUUUUUGAGUUAUACGAAAAUAAAUAACGAAAGUGAUGGGACUUUAGUUCUAUCCCUUCACUUAUAUCAAAACAAACAGACCCUUAACUAUGGUGAGUGAAGAG